GGAGGCUACUGCUAUCGGGGUUCGAUUAAGCCAUGCGAGUUAAAUGUUCUUCGUGAACAUAGCGAACUGCUCAGUAACACGUGGAUAACCUACCCUUAGGACCGGAAUAACCCCGGGAAACUGGGGAUAAUACCGGAUAAGCCAUAGACGCUGGAAUGCCCUAUGGUUCAAAGCUCCGGCGCNUAAGGAUGGAUCUGCGGUCUAUCAGGUUGUAGUGGGUGUAACGUACCUACUAGCCGACGACGGAUACGGGUUGUGAGAGCAAGAGCCCGGAGAUGGAUUCUGAGACACGAAUCCAGGCCCUACGGGGUGCAGCAGGCGCGAACACUUUACAAUGCGGGAAACCGCGAUAAGGGAACCCCGAGUGCCAGCAUCAAAUGUUGGCUGUCCAGAUGGUUAAAAAUCAUUUGUUAGCAAGGGCCGGGCAAGACCGGCGCCAGCCGCCGCGGUAACACCGGCGGCCCGAGUGGUAGCCGUUUUUAUUGGGUCUAAAGGGUCCGUAGCCGGCCUGAUAAGUCCUUUGGGAAAUCUGACAGCUUAACUGUCAGGCUUCUAAGGGAUACUGUCAGGCUUGGGACCGGAAGAGGUAAGGGGUACUCCAGGGGUAGGAGUGAAAUCUUGUAAUCCCUGGGGGACCAUCUGUGGCGAAGGCGCCUUACCAGAACGGGUCCGACGGUGAGGGACGAAAGCUAGGGGAGCAAACCGGAUUAGAUACCCGGGUAGUCCCAGCCGUAAACGAUGUUCGCUAGGUGUCAGGGACGGUGCGACCGUUUCUGGUGCCGUAGGGAAGCCGUGAAGCGAACCACCUGGGAAGUACGGCCGCAAGGCUGAAACUUAAAGGAAUUGGCGGG
This 851-nucleotide ribosomal RNA is filed under the name uncultured archaeon. RNAcentral describes it as "bacterial SSU rRNA". It matches the Rfam family "Archaeal small subunit ribosomal RNA", at positions 19 to 872 of the family's 1478-position model. The record is from RNAcentral.